UUUAUGGAGAGUUUGAUCCUGGCUCAGGACGAACGCUGGCGGCGUGCCUAAUACAUGCAAGUCGAGCGGAUCGAUGGGAGCUUGCUCCCUGAGAUCAGCGGCGGACGGGUGAGUAACACGUGGGUAACCUGCCUGUAAGACUGGGAUAACUCCGGGAAACCGGGGCUAAUACCGGAUAACACCUACCCCCGCAUGGGGGGAGGUUGAAAGGUGGCUUCGGCUAUCACUUACAGAUGGACCCGCGGCGCAUUAGCUAGUUGGUGAGGUAACGGCUCACCAAGGCGACGAUGCGUAGCCGACCUGAGAGGGUGAUCGGCCACACUGGGACUGAGACACGGCCCAGACUCCUACGGGAGGCAGCAGUAGGGAAUCUUCCGCAAUGGACGAAAGUCUGACGGAGCAACGCCGCGUGAGUGAAGAAGGUUUUCGGAUCGUAAAACUCUGUUGUUAGGGAAGAACAAG
Molecule: ribosomal RNA, 462 nt
Filed under: Rossellomorea marisflavi
Lineage: Bacteria; Bacillati; Bacillota; Bacilli; Caryophanales; Bacillaceae
Description: bacterial SSU rRNA
Rfam family: Bacterial small subunit ribosomal RNA
Source: RNAcentral